AGUGGAAGAUGGACAACUUUCCAUAAAGCAGCAAAGGAAGGUAGAUAAAAUUUUCUGCCUGGGUAGAGAUUCUGUUGCAAAAAAGCAACUACAUAGCAAUUGUUGUGAAGACCAGACCCGUAGUGUGAAAUUAUGCUCAGAGCCACUAGAGGAUGUUUUGAUGACUGGUUUGUACCUGAAGUUCACUCAUAGGGACUGCACAUAAGAAAGGCUCAGUGUAUCAGCUCCCUUCUUCACAUUUCCAAGAGUCCAAAAGCUGCAAAGGCCAGUCUAGUUCAGAUUUCUCUUCUUACCUGGUAAGAUAUCAAGGGUCUUUCCUGGACUAAGAGGGUUAGGAAUACUUUGCUGAACAUGAUCUUUUCUGUUAUGGAAUUGUUAAUCUUCUGAG
RNAcentral lists this long non-coding RNA (388 nucleotides) under Parus major (Great Tit). Its description in RNAcentral is "lncRNA (ENSPMJG00000011331.1)". The record is from RNAcentral. Lineage: Eukaryota; Metazoa; Chordata; Aves; Passeriformes; Paridae.